This 328-nucleotide long non-coding RNA is filed under the name Setaria italica (foxtail millet). RNAcentral's name for it is "long non-coding RNA (SITA_LNC004350)". Lineage: Eukaryota; Viridiplantae; Streptophyta; Magnoliopsida; Poales; Poaceae. The record is from RNAcentral.
UUGCUUCCGCCUUGAACCAUAGUAGUGCUUCACGUCUGAUUGCGCUCAGCAGCUCCUGCACCAUGGCUUCGCAGCCGUCGAAGAGACACGCAUUAUGUUCCUUCCACAAGCUCCAGAUGAUUAGCAUGAAGAGUGCAUCAGUUCCUCUUCUCUUCUCCCUUGGCUACGAUGCUCUGACAUGUGCCCACCAGUCUUGCAAGGAGCAAUUAGCAGCUUGGAAUGUGCAGACGCACCCCAACCAAGUCAAAGCUCCCCACCAGGUUUGCUUGGCGUAGGAGUAGUUUCCGACUCCUGGUCGCAAAGCCAACAGGAUGCGUGAGCCUCCAAG